AGCUUUGUACAGUGGCAGUAUCAUAGCCAGUGAGUUUAUCUGAGGGAUGAUGAUUGCUAAUUAAAAAAAUUAAAUG
This 76-nucleotide small nuclear RNA is filed under the name Otolemur garnettii (small-eared galago). Its description in RNAcentral is "U4 spliceosomal RNA". It matches the Rfam family "U4 spliceosomal RNA", at positions 1 to 77 of the family's 138-position model. From Rfam's summary of the family: U4 small nuclear RNA (U4 snRNA) is a component of the major U2-dependent spliceosome. The structure of U4 snRNA from yeast and human has been reported. The record is from Rfam by way of RNAcentral. Lineage: Eukaryota; Metazoa; Chordata; Mammalia; Primates; Galagidae.